Molecule: ribosomal RNA, 242 nt
Filed under: uncultured bacterium
Lineage: Bacteria
Description: partial 16S ribosomal RNA
Rfam family: Bacterial small subunit ribosomal RNA
Source: RNAcentral
GAUCCUGGCUCAGGACGAACGCUGGCGGCGCGCCUAACACAUGCAAGUCGAACGAGCGAGAGAGAGCUUGCUUUCUCGAGCGAGUGGCGAACGGGUGAGUAACGCGUGAGGAACCUGCCUCAAAGAGGGGGACAACAGUUGGAAACGACUGCUAAUACCGCAUAAGACCACAGCACCGCAUGGUGCAGGGGUAAAAACUCCGGUGGUACAGGAUGGACCCGCGUCUGAUUAGCUGGUUGGUG